GACCACGUGGUUUGCAUACAAAU
This 23-nucleotide non-coding RNA is filed under the name Arabidopsis thaliana (thale cress). The record is from RNAcentral. Lineage: Eukaryota; Viridiplantae; Streptophyta; Magnoliopsida; Brassicales; Brassicaceae.